RNAcentral lists this transfer RNA (68 nucleotides) under Dipodomys ordii (Ord's kangaroo rat). It matches the Rfam family "tRNA". From Rfam's summary of the family: Transfer RNA (tRNA) molecules are approximately 80 nucleotides in length. Their secondary structure includes four short double-helical elements and three loops (D, anti-codon, and T loops). Further hydrogen bonds mediate the characteristic L-shaped molecular structure. tRNAs have two regions of fundamental functional importance: the anti-codon, which is responsible for specific mRNA codon recognition, and the 3' end, to which the tRNAs corresponding amino acid is attached (by aminoacyl-tRNA synthetases). tRNAs cope with the degeneracy of the genetic code in two manners: having more than one tRNA (with a specific anti-codon) for a particular amino acid; and 'wobble' base-pairing, i.e. permitting non-standard base-pairing at the 3rd anti-codon position. The record is from Rfam by way of RNAcentral. Lineage: Eukaryota; Metazoa; Chordata; Mammalia; Rodentia; Heteromyidae.
GUGUUAAUGGCUUAUAUGGUAGAGCACUUGUUUAACAAGAGGCCCUGGGUUCAACUCUAAGUAACACA